UACGGGGGGAGCAAGCGUUGUCCGGAAUUACGGGGCGUAAAGGGCGCGUAGGCGGCAAUUCAAGUCAGCUGUGAAAUCUCCGGGCUUAACUCGGAACGGUCAAGUGAUACUGUCGCGCUAGAGUGCGGAAGGGGCAAUCAGAAUUCUUGGUGUAGCGGUGAAAUGCGUAGAUAUUAAGAGGAAUACCUGAGGUGAAGACGGGUUGCUAGGCCGACACUGACGCUGAAGCGCGAAAGCCAGGGGAGCAAACGGG
This 253-nucleotide ribosomal RNA is filed under the name uncultured bacterium. RNAcentral describes it as "partial 16S ribosomal RNA". It matches the Rfam family "Bacterial small subunit ribosomal RNA", at positions 524 to 776 of the family's 1533-position model. The record is from RNAcentral.